AAAUAAAAGCAGAAGCACCCGCUUCUCGCCUUAGCUGACAAGGUCGCUGGGCUGGAUAGUUUCACUGGUUCUUUUAGGUGAAUUAUGUGCGGGUUCUAUAAGAGAACUCGUUUUUUUAUUACCGU
This is a regulatory RNA element of Enterococcus ratti, 125 nucleotides long. It matches the Rfam family "Ribosomal protein L20 leader". From Rfam's summary of the family: This family is a putative r-protein leader autoregulatory structure found in B. subtilis and other low-GC Gram-positive bacteria. It is located in the 5' untranslated regions of mRNAs encoding initiation factor 3 followed by ribosomal proteins L35 and L20 (infC-rpmI-rplT). A Rho-independent transcription terminator structure that is probably involved in regulation is included at the 3' end. Lineage: Bacteria; Bacillati; Bacillota; Bacilli; Lactobacillales; Enterococcaceae. The record is from Rfam.